This 506-nucleotide ribosomal RNA is filed under the name uncultured bacterium. RNAcentral describes it as "partial 16S ribosomal RNA". It matches the Rfam family "Bacterial small subunit ribosomal RNA", at positions 30 to 523 of the family's 1533-position model. The record is from RNAcentral.
AUUGAACGCUGGCGGCAGGCCUAACACAUGCAAGUCGAGCGGCAGCGGGAAGUAGCUUGCUACUUUGCCGGCGAGCGGCGGACGGGUGAGUAAUGUCUGGGAAACUGCCUGAUGGAGGGGGAUAACUACUGGAAACGGUAGCUAAUACCGCAUAACGUCGCAAGACCAAAGAGGGGGACCUUCGGGCCUCUUGCCAUCAGAUGUGCCCAGAUGGGAUUAGCUAGUAGGUGGGGUAAUGGCUCACCUAGGCGACGAUCCCUAGCUGGUCUGGGAGGAUGACCAGCCACACUGGAACUGAGACACGGUCCAGACUCCUACGGGAGGCAGCAGUGGGGAAUAUUGCACAAUGGGCGCAAGCCUGAUGCAGCCAUGCCGCGUGUAUGAAGAAGGCCUUCGGGUUGUAAAGUACUUUCAGCGGGGAGGAAGGUGUUGAGGUUAAUAACCUCAGCAAUUGACGUUACCCGCAGAAGAAGCACCGGCUAACUCCGUGCCAGCCGCCGCGGUAA